Molecule: ribosomal RNA, 139 nt
Filed under: Enterococcus faecium
Lineage: Bacteria; Bacillati; Bacillota; Bacilli; Lactobacillales; Enterococcaceae
Description: partial 23S ribosomal RNA
Rfam family: Bacterial large subunit ribosomal RNA
Source: RNAcentral
GGUUAAGUGAAUAAGGGCGCACGGUGGAUGCCUUGGCACUAGGAGCCGAUGAAGGACGGGACUAACACCGAUAUGCUUUGGGGAGCUGUACGUAAGCUAUGAUCCAGAGAUUUCCGAAUGGGGGAACCCAACAUCUUUA